UCCCUGGUGGUCCAGUGGUUAAGACUCUAUGCUUCCACUGCAGAGGACAGGGGUUCAAUCCCUAGUCAGGGAA
This is a transfer RNA of Ovis aries (sheep), 73 nucleotides long. It matches the Rfam family "tRNA". From Rfam's summary of the family: Transfer RNA (tRNA) molecules are approximately 80 nucleotides in length. Their secondary structure includes four short double-helical elements and three loops (D, anti-codon, and T loops). The record is from Rfam. Lineage: Eukaryota; Metazoa; Chordata; Mammalia; Artiodactyla; Bovidae.